GAUGAACGCUAGCGGCAGGCUUAAUACAUGCAAGUCGAGGGGCAACAGGGGUAGCAAUACCCGCUGGCGACCGGCAAACGGGUGCGGAACACGUACAGAACCUUCCUUUAAGCGGGGAUAGCCCAUAGAAAUGUGGAUUAAUACCCCAUAGUAAUGUUGUCUGGCAUCAGAUGAUAUUUAAAGAUUUAUCACUUAAAGAUGGCUGUGCGGCUGAUUAGGUAGUUGGUGNGGGUAACGGCCCACCAAGCCAGCGAUCAGUAACUGGUGUGAGAGCACGACCAGUCACACGGGCACU
Molecule: ribosomal RNA, 295 nt
Filed under: uncultured bacterium
Lineage: Bacteria
Description: partial 16S ribosomal RNA
Rfam family: Bacterial small subunit ribosomal RNA
Source: RNAcentral